This is a long non-coding RNA of Xenopus tropicalis (tropical clawed frog), 2229 nucleotides long. RefSeq lists it as uncharacterized. The transcript is spliced from 2 exons. NCBI's taxonomy places the organism in Eukaryota, Metazoa, Chordata, Amphibia, Anura, Pipidae. The record is from RefSeq and is a predicted model, not a curated record.
CUUUCUGGAUAAUGGGUUUCAGGAUAAGUGAUCCCAUACCUGUAUAUUAAACAGUACCCCAGAUAAUACAAAUAAAUUGCUUUUUAGGUAGAAAGCAAAUGGGGUUGAGUCUAAAACACAUUGUGAAUACUUUUUAAUGAGAUGAGCUCCAUCUUUACAUUGGCAUCUAAAUCCAAGCUGGGUUGGUACAAUACAAGGGAAGCCUCGCCAUCAUUCCUUGGAUUUUGGAAUCUUAGAGAAGUUUAUGAUUUUAUGUCAAUUAUGUUCCUACAAUGGGGCAGGUUGUAGAAGAAAGUAAUACUCAUAGCAAAGUUUGAUUCUUCUUUUCCCCCAAAUGUUUUCUACAGAAGAGCUGAAUUCCAGUAGGAAGAAGGUGUCAUUUCACCCCAGGCAGGGUUUCAUUAGAGGGAGUCAAGUGAAAACAAGGAUAAAACAUGGAUAGGUUUUUGCAUCCAUCAUAUAUUUGUGGACGUUGUCACUUUUUUUUUUUGUUUUGUUUCCCUUCACAUAUUUCAUGGAAAAAAUAUAUAAAUUUAAUAUGAUAUUUAAAUGAUAAUGAUUGCUUCCCCAUAGCUUUAGCCUCCACCUGAAACUAUAGGGCUUUCUGGAGGCUUAUUGGCAUUGAGCAAACUUAACUUUUAUUGUGAGUUUGUGGCAAAGCCAAGUACGUUCUCGGAAGAAGCAAGCUUACCUUGCAGAACGUAUCAUUUGGUGAUAGUUUCCCUUAAGUAAAAAUCCGAAAAAACAAUUCAACGAACAGCGCUAAAGUGUUUUUGUUUGUUUUUCACAGGAGGGUUUGAGGGAGAGAGUAUGAUAGGAGACCUUGGAAUAGAAAUCAUGCAAAUUCCUUCCAGGUAUUAUGUAUUAAAAUCUACAACUGUAGUCAAUGCGUUCUAUUCAAUGGAAACGUUUUGAUGAAACUGCUUUUUUUUCAGGGUAUACAAUAUUAUCCAAAGUAUUUAACAGCAAAAAAAACAAAAAAAAAUUCUAAAAAAAAAAAACAUGCUUAAAAUUUCCUAAGAUAAAAGUCAAAAAACAAAUUUGCAAUCCUAGAUAUUUGUUGUUGUGAUGUAUGCCUUGUAACAGUGCAUGGAGGUAUACGGGAUAAGUGAACGCGCUCGCCAGAGGGGACGCCACGUUGGAAGCCCUCUGGCUAUGGUGGAGUUUGGUGUCAAUGGGGUAAACUUUUUUUUGUGUGUGUGUUCGAGCAGCAUUGAAUAGAACCUUGCAUACAGAAACCACCACUAGAAAGUUCCGUUCAUGACUUUCUGUGUUUAAUAUUAAAUGUGCUUUUUUUGUGAUGUGUUUCAAACCAGGUGAUUUCCAAAUCUUGCAAGAAGUGAGCCUUGCCCCCCUUUUUUUCUUUUGUCCGAUUACUAGAUAGCACAGGUAGUAGUACGCUGUGUUCCUGCAAAGCUUGGCAUUAUGGAGUUGCGUGGCUACGGAUCACAGAGGGGCACUGGUUGUAAUAAAGGGUACAGUUUUCUGUGACUUGCGUGUCCAUCUCCAGGCAUUGUUUAACGUACACACCUAUAUACAUAUGGUUUUCUUUCCUCUUUUGAGCAUCCGGUGUUGUGGGCAACAGUACUUUGCAAACAAAGACUAAAUGCAAUUUUAAUGUCUAUGCUUGGCCCCAACCAGUUCUAUGUGUAGAAUGUGUUGUUAUGGACUGUAAUGGACAUAUAUUCAAGCAGUCUUAUAUUUCUUCUUCUUUUCUUUCCCCCUUUUAUGUGAAUACCAUUGAAUCGGUUUCCACGCCACACACACACAUGAGAAAAAUCGCAUUACUGAACAUAGAGCAGAUUAGCACUUUAUUACCACAUUGGUAACUUAACGUGUGAAAGUGAGAAGUUUUACCUCUUCUCCAAAAAAAAUGCAAAACACCAUUGGCUUUCCUUUGGCCGUAUGUAUAUGUUCUUUCUUACAAUACUGGUAAUAAAUACUUAUCUGCAUUUUGGGAUUGUGUGAUGUGGGUUUUUUAAAUGAUGUUUUAUUUGCCCAUAGCACUAUUAACAGUUGCUGCCUUACUAAUUUUUAAAUUAUUUUAAUUUGUUACAACUUUUUUCUAUAUGUCACUUCAUUCCCAGUGUUUAAGAAAAAAAAAAAUUAAUGAUUGGAAUUUGUGGUUGUUCAUGUGAUGUGAUGUAUUAAUGUUCACAUGCAAUUGGAUCAUGGUAUUUUUUUCAUUGUUCAACAGGGAUAAUAUGUUAAUAAACUGUACUAAUUUAA